RNAcentral lists this transfer RNA (71 nucleotides) under Camelus dromedarius (Arabian camel). It matches the Rfam family "tRNA". From Rfam's summary of the family: Transfer RNA (tRNA) molecules are approximately 80 nucleotides in length. The record is from Rfam by way of RNAcentral. Lineage: Eukaryota; Metazoa; Chordata; Mammalia; Artiodactyla; Camelidae. RNAcentral also lists the same sequence under 1 other name.
GGAGUAUGGCUUAGCGGUAGAAUGCGUGCUUAGCAUGCACGAGGUCCUGGGUUCAGUCCCCAGUAUCUCCA